Molecule: ribosomal RNA, 485 nt
Filed under: uncultured bacterium
Lineage: Bacteria
Description: partial 16S ribosomal RNA
Rfam family: Bacterial small subunit ribosomal RNA
Source: RNAcentral
UGGGGAAUAUUGGACAAUGGGCGGAAGCCUGAUCCAGCAACGCCGCGUGAGGGAUGACGGCCUUCGGGUUGUAAACCUCUUUCAGUACCGACGAAGCGAAAGUGACGGUAGGUACAGAAGAAGGACCGGCCAACUACGUGCCAGCAGCCGCGGUAAUACGUAGGGUCCGAGCGUUGUCCGGAAUUAUUGGGCGUAAAGGGCUCGUAGGCGGUUUGUCGCGUCGGGAGUGAAAACACGGGCUUAACUCGUUGCUUGCUUUCGAUACGGGGCAGACUAGAGGUAUGCAGGGGAGAAUGGAAUUCCUGGUGUAGCGGUGAAAUGCGCAGAUAUCAGGAGGAACACCGGUGGCGAAGGCGGUUCUCUGGGCAUUACCUGACGCUGAGGAGCGAAAGUGUGGGGAGCGAACAGGAUUAGAUACCCUGGUAGUCCACACCGUAAACGUUGGGCGCUAGGUGUGGGGUCCUUUCCACGGAUUCCGUGCCGUA